RNAcentral lists this ribosomal RNA (561 nucleotides) under uncultured bacterium. RNAcentral describes it as "bacterial SSU rRNA". It matches the Rfam family "Bacterial small subunit ribosomal RNA", at positions 338 to 916 of the family's 1533-position model. The record is from RNAcentral.
CCUACGGGAGGCAGCAGUGGGGAAUAUUGGACAAUGGGCGAAAGCCUGAUCCAGCAAUGCCGCGUGAGUGAUGAAGGCCUUAGGGUUGUAAAGCUCUUUUACUAGGGAUGAUAAUGACAGUACCUAGAGAAUAAGCCCCGGCUAACUCCGUGCCAGCAGCCGCGGUAAUACGGAGGGGGCUAGCGUUGUUCGGAAUUACUGGGCGUAAAGAGUACGUAGGCGGUUAUUCAAGUCAGAGGUGAAAGCCUGGAGCUCAACUCCAGAACUGCCUUUGAAACUAGAUAGCUAGAAUCAUGGAGAGGUUAGUGGAAUUCCGAGUGUAGAGGUGAAAUUCGUAGAUAUUCGGAAGAACACCAGUGGCGAAGGCGACUAACUGGACAUGUAUUGACGCUGAGGUACGAAAGCGUGGGGAGCAAACAGGAUUAGAUACCCUGGUAGUCCACGCCGUAAACGAUGAUAACUAGCUGUUCGGGCUCUCAGAGCUUGAGUGGCGCAGCUAACGCAUUAAGUUAUCCGCCUGGGGAGUACGGUCGCAAGAUUAAAACUCAAAUGAAUUGACGG